GGUCAUAUAGCUGAGACGGAUUAGCUUUGGCUUGAAACCCCAAACAGGUCGGUUCAAUUCCGACUAUGACCA
RNAcentral lists this transfer RNA (72 nucleotides) under Blastocatellia bacterium. RNAcentral's name for it is "tRNA-Phe". It matches the Rfam family "tRNA". Rfam says of the family: Transfer RNA (tRNA) molecules are approximately 80 nucleotides in length. Their secondary structure includes four short double-helical elements and three loops (D, anti-codon, and T loops). Further hydrogen bonds mediate the characteristic L-shaped molecular structure. tRNAs have two regions of fundamental functional importance: the anti-codon, which is responsible for specific mRNA codon recognition, and the 3' end, to which the tRNAs corresponding amino acid is attached (by aminoacyl-tRNA synthetases). tRNAs cope with the degeneracy of the genetic code in two manners: having more than one tRNA (with a specific anti-codon) for a particular amino acid; and 'wobble' base-pairing, i.e. permitting non-standard base-pairing at the 3rd anti-codon position. Lineage: Bacteria; Pseudomonadati; Acidobacteriota; Blastocatellia. The record is from RNAcentral.